Molecule: ribosomal RNA, 406 nt
Filed under: uncultured Lachnospiraceae bacterium
Lineage: Bacteria; Bacillati; Bacillota; Clostridia; Lachnospirales; Lachnospiraceae
Description: bacterial SSU rRNA
Rfam family: Bacterial small subunit ribosomal RNA
Source: RNAcentral
UGGGGGAUAUUGGACAAUGGGGGGAACCCUGAUCCAGCGACGCCGCGUGAGUGAAGAAGUAUCUCGGUAUGUAAAGCUCUGUCAGCAGGGAAGAAUUUAUGACGGUACCUGACCAAGAAGCCCCGGCUAACUACGUGCCAGCAGCCGCGGUAAUACGUAGGGGGCAAGCGUUAUCCGGAAUUACUGGGUGUAAAGGGAGCGCAGACGGUGUGGUAAGUCUGGAGUGAAAGGCGGGGGCCCAACCCCCGGACUGCUCUGGAAACUAUCAGACUGGAGUGCAGGAGAGGCAGGCGGAAUUCCUGGUGUAGCGGUGAAAUGCGUAGAUAUCAGGAGGAACACCGGUGGCGAAGGCGGCCUGCUGGACUGUAACUGACGUUGAGGCUCGAAAGCGUGGGGAGCAAACAGG